RNAcentral lists this ribosomal RNA (253 nucleotides) under uncultured bacterium. RNAcentral describes it as "partial 16S ribosomal RNA". It matches the Rfam family "Bacterial small subunit ribosomal RNA", at positions 524 to 776 of the family's 1533-position model. The record is from RNAcentral.
UACAGAGGUCUCAAGCGUUGUUCGGAUUCAUUGGGCGUAAAGGGCGUGUAGGUGGCGCCGUAAGUCGGGCGUGAAAUUUCGGAGCUUAACUCCGAAACUGCAUUCGAUACUGCGGUGCUUGAGGACUGGAGAGGAGACUGGAAUUCAUGGUGUAGCAGUGAAAUGCGUAGAGAUCAUGAGGAAGACCAGUGGCGAAGGCGGGUCUCUGGACAGUAACUGACGCUGAGGAGCGAAAGCGUGGGGAGCGAACAGG